UACGGGGGGGGCAAGCGUUGUUCGGAAUUACUGGGCGUAAAGGGCUCGUAGGUGGCCAACUAAGUCGAACGUGAAAUCCCCGGGCUCAACCCGGGAACUGCGUCCGAUACUGGCAGGCUUGAAUCCGGGAGAGGGAUGCGGAAUUCCAGGUGUAGCGGUGAAAUGCGUAGAUAUCUGGAGGAACACCGGUGGCGAAGGCGGCAUCCUGGACCGGCAUUGACGCUGAGGCGCGAAAGCCAGGGGAGCAAACGGG
Molecule: ribosomal RNA, 253 nt
Filed under: uncultured bacterium
Lineage: Bacteria
Description: partial 16S ribosomal RNA
Rfam family: Bacterial small subunit ribosomal RNA
Source: RNAcentral